RNAcentral lists this ribosomal RNA (1002 nucleotides) under Paramesotriton caudopunctatus (Guizhou warty newt). RNAcentral's name for it is "partial 16S ribosomal RNA". The stretch from base 159 to 1002 matches the Rfam family "Bacterial large subunit ribosomal RNA", at positions 573 to 2037 of the family's 2925-position model. Lineage: Eukaryota; Metazoa; Chordata; Amphibia; Caudata; Salamandridae. The record is from RNAcentral.
UAAAAAUUGUAGCCAAACAAACCUAAACUACCAAAAAACAAAACAAACCAUUUAAUUUAAUAGUAUGGGCGAUAGAAAUUUACUAUGAGCAAUAAAAAAGUACCGCAAGGGAAAGAUGAAAUAAAAAUGAAAUAAAUAAUAAAAACAAAGAAAAGAAAAGACUAAACCCUGUACCUUUUGCAUAAUGGUCUAGUAAGUUCAACCUAACAAAAAGAAAUAAAGUUAGCCACCCCGAAACUAGGCGAGCUACUUAAGAGCAGCAUAAUCAGAGCUAACCCGUCUCUGUGGCAAAAGAGUGGGACGACUUUUAAGUAGAGGUGAAAAGCCUAACGAGCCUAGUGAUAGCUGGUUGCUUGAGAAAUGAAUAUUAGUUCAGCUUAAAGUAUUUUUAAUAAUUAAAAAUAAAUAUAGCACUUUAAAGUUAAUUAAUAGGGGUACAGCCCUAUUAAUAAAGGAUACAACCUACAUAAUGAAUAAAGAUUAUAUUAACAAAAGAAAUUAACCAUGUAGGCCUAAAAGCAGCCACCAUAAGAAAGCGUCAAAGCUCAACUUACAACCCUCCCCUUAUUAUACUAAUAAAAAAAAUCUAAAUUCACAAAACAUAUCAAGCCUAUCUACUAGUAGAUGAGUUUAUACUAGAAUGAGUAACAAGAACAAAUUCUCUACAUGCAAGCGUAAAUCAGAACGAAAAAAUCACUGAUAAUUAACAAUUUAAAAUACUCAUCAACGAGAAAAACACAUUAAAACAAUUGUUAACCCAACACAGGAGCAUUAAAAAAGAUUUAAAGAUUAAAAAGGAACUCGGCAAUCACAGAGCUCCGCCUGUUUACCAAAAACAUCGCCUCUUGCCCCCCUAAUAUAAGAGGUCCCGCCUGCCCAGUGAUUAAUUUUAACGGCCGCGGUAUCAUGACCGUGCAAAGGUAGCGUAAUCACUUGUCUUUUAAAUAAAGACCUGUAUGAAAGGCAAAACGAAAGCUCAACUGUCUCUUUAAUCUAAUCAGU